This is a ribosomal RNA of Mustela putorius furo (domestic ferret), 132 nucleotides long. Lineage: Eukaryota; Metazoa; Chordata; Mammalia; Carnivora; Mustelidae. The record is from Ensembl.
GUCUACGGCCAUACCACCCUGAACGCGCCCGAUCUCGUCUGAUCUCGGAAGCUAAGCAGGGUCGGGCCUGGUUAGUACUUGGAUGGGAGAAGUGCUCUGCUAAUAGAGGAGUCCAAUCCAGUGCCUUCUUCU